ACACACACACACACAGAGACAUGCUUUAUCAAAAAGGGCUUCCCAGGUUCUAUAUUUCAGGCUCAAGCCGAUCAAUGGUGACUAUAUGACAUACAUACAUACACUAACACACACAUGCACGCGCUCACACCCAGUUAAUAUGGCAGCUAGGUCACGCAGGGCUUCCAGGUGUGUGUGUCUGUGUGCGUGUGUGUAUGUGUGUCCCCUCCUGGUCCCUGUGUGUGUGUGUAGUGUAGUGUAGUGUAGUAUAGUGUGUUGUGUUGUGUUGGACCUCUGCGCUGGGGCUUCAGGUGGGCACUGAACCGGAGGCUGGCUGAUGGGUUGCUUGGUUGCCAUGCAGAUUGGGUUCCCUGACUCCUGGACUCCGGACGCGGCCCACGCUUGGGCCAGCUGCGUGUAAUCUGGGUCGUCGGAGGGCUUCCGCUGCAGCCAAGCCUGUGAAAGUUCUGGGCAUGCUCAGUUGCUGGCUGUCUGCAAUGUCUCUUCAGGAUGGGGGUUGUGAUGUCAUCUCUGAGCGCCAGUCCCCUGGCCUGGCCUGGCCUACCAUCGGCCGUCUCCAUGUGAGUGUAGUGGUUUGGGAGCCCUCUGUUCUCCUGAUAUGAAAGUUUUUGGGGGGAGGGGUUAUGAAAGGGUUUUUAUGUUACUGGGGUAAAGGGUGCCCCCUAAUGGUUACAAAGUGCAGUGACGCCUCUUCUGCCUCUCUGACUUGCUUUCCUGCCUCUUCUUUCUUUUUUUUUUUUUCUUUUGCUUUAAUUUUACUUUAUGCGAAACCAAAAGUCGUUUCAGUAAUAAGGGUUCAGGCUUGAGUGUUGAAUGAGUGAGAGACUGUGUGUGUGUGUGUGUGUGUGGUGGGGGUCAAAGGUCUGCCCUUAACACAAUCAUUGGGACUUAAUUUUGUGCUGUUGUUUAUUUUGUUGUUGGUCUCCUAACCUUACCAAGCUUAAGAAGUGAACGACGCUGAAAGUGUAGUUUUUAAAAAAGUGUACCAUUCUUUGUCAGUGAUCUUUCUGCAUGUCUUGAAAGCCACCCGGCGUUAACGAAUACUUUUUCUACAAAAAAAGUGAGAACUACUUUAAAGAGGAAAAAAAAGACAAAACUUUUUACAUAUUUUUAUUUUUUCAGUUGAUUCCUGGACCCAUAACCCUCCUCUCUAUAUAAUGUGACCAUUUUAUUACUUCAACUUAGUCUUUAUUUUCCAUAGUUCUGUUGUUUUCCUGUGUAUAACAUAUAGGCAAUUUAUAACAAAAUGGAGAAAAUUAUUGAUGAAAAAAAUUAAAAUUGAAAUCUAUUUUAUUUGAAAGUUUAUGGACCUUUUUAAAAGCGCCAAGCCGGGAACAGUGAUGUACACAGGGCCUCCUGGUGUGCGCUGCCUCAACGGUUAUGAGAAAUGUAUUAAGAGUUUUAUUUUUAUGCUUCUUUAAUAAAAUCUAGUUUGUUUUUAUUUACUUUUUAAAUUUUUGUUUACUUUUUUUGUAAUGCCAAGCGAUACCCUCCUGUGUCGUGGUCCAUUUAAUCUCAGCGCUUACAUCCUUUUGUGUUCGCCCACUGGGACACAUUUGUAGAAAAGGUACAGGUGGGUGUGUGUGUGUGUGUGUGUGAGUGAGCAAGUCAUAUUGUGAGCACACACACACACACGCACUCCGCAGUAUCCCGGAUAGCUCUUAAGCGCGUCCGGGACUCCUGCUAUGUGAAGAUAUGUGAUGUUGGAAUCAGAGGCCAUCUCUGACAGGUGUUCUAGAAUUGUGUUGUGUUGGAGGCGGAGCGUCCAAGCGCAUGUACAGGGUACUUAGAAGGCCAUGAGAACGGGGGCACCAGGGAGUUCAGUGCAGUGUUCCCCUCUCUUCCGCCUCUGGAAAUAUACAAGUGGGGUUCUUAUCCCUCAGAACCACACGAAGAAACAGUACGUCCUCAGUUUUUCCACUAAAGACAUUUUUUUUUUUUUUUUUUUUUUUAAACUUCCUCUUAGUUUCCACUUCUUCAUUGAUAUAUGAAUGUCUUGUAUGGGAAGAGUUGUUCUGCUUUUUUUUUUUUAACUUUAUUAUGUACCAUGAUAUCAUUUUUACAUUUUCUGACAUGAGAGUAGAGUAUUAUGUUUGGGGAUAUAUUUAAAGUAUAUGUAUAUUUAAUUAUUAUUAUUAAUUUUUUGCACAUAAUAUAUCUUUAAAUUAUUUUCCCUCUAGGAAGAGAAGGGGAGAUAACUAAUGUGAUUGCCGACCAAAAUCUAUUACCAGUAAGAUGACCCUAUCAAAUACCCUUACUUCCGACCAUUAGUAGAUUACAAAUCAAGAUGUAACAGAGGAGUUUAAAGGAAUUUUAAUAUACACGAUAACAGCACUCCCUAUCCCCAGUUUUAUUCUAGUUUACUUUUUUCAUAUGUUUAAACUACAGGCAAAAUGUAAAGCCACAAAAACAACGGAUGUUUCUGCCACUAGCCAAGUCAGGUACACAUACAGAAGUAUUUUGGCCUUAAGUUGAUCAAUAGGUUUGGGAGACAAUGCUUUCCUGUAGUAUUUUUUUUAUUUUUUUUGAGUGUAACUGAAGGCUGUCCCUCAACAAAACAAAAGACUAGAGAGAAACGGGGAAAGUAACUGCUGUGAUCUUCUUUGCUGCAGUCUGUGCUGUAAUAUCUGGAUACAUGGAAGCGUCAGUGAUGUAGUUCCCGCUGUUACCUCAAGAGGGAGCUAAAGGUUGUUGGAAGUGGGCGCUGCGGGGAGUGUCCUGCCCUUUUCCCGUAUGUCCUCACGGUGAUGGUGUAUGCUGGUACAAGUUCCUUUUUCAGGGGAGAAGAUUUUGAGGAAUUAAACUGAAUAAUUACAUUUUUGAAUGCAUAUUCACAAGGAUGAAAAUCGUAUUGUUUCAGACGUUCAAAUUCACUUUUUUUUUAUUUCAAUACUUUAAGGAGCUACAGAAAUGACAUCAAUGUGUGAAAUAUUUGUGUUUUGGAUACAUGUUCUUUUCCAAAUAUAUUUCCCUUUUUAUUUCAUAAUUAGUUUGAUCAAUUUUAUGCUAAGUUUUCUUUGAAUUGUUUUCUUUCUUAGAUGCAAAAAGUCUCAAUUGUUACCAAACAGAACUGUAGUCUUAUUCGUUUUGAUUUGAUCUGGUUUCCUCCGCUGUCUUGUUGAAAGGUCAAAGGUCAGUGCGAAUCAUUUACACGUACUGAUCUUCCUGGUCGUUUUGUUUGGCCUUGAACCACACGCGUUCAUACGCAGACCCGGUCCAUAUGGCCUGCAGUCAUUCUUUAAACAUAUUUGAAUUGCUCAAUGUAGAUUUACACAUUUCUCAUAUCUUUGGAGCCAUUCUUGGAGUUAGCAGAUGUGUGUGCAUCAUCCAUUUUGUGUAGCCUAUUUAUUUUGGAUUGGUCAUGUUUUGCCUUCGGAGGAGAAGGAGAUGAAGAGUCUCACACGUGCUUGCUUAUUUUUGGGAUGAUACUUUUUACAUGUAAGGUUACUCUAAUAUUUUUGGAAUAUUUUCAAGGCCUAUUUUACCCCCCUUCCCACACCCUACCCCAAUUUCAUACAUAAGACUGUUGUUUUUAUGUACUAUCGCAUAUUUUCAGACAAAAAUAAAAGUGUUUUUGAAUAUUG
Clupea harengus (Atlantic herring) is the source of this 3584-nucleotide long non-coding RNA. RefSeq lists it as uncharacterized. The record is from RefSeq and is a predicted model, not a curated record. Lineage: Eukaryota; Metazoa; Chordata; Actinopteri; Clupeiformes; Clupeidae. The transcript has 2 exons.